AUGGGGAACCUAGCUGAGAGCAUCGCAUGUGGCGUGGCGGCGUCGGGUGUCCUCUCGGCCUCCGCCAUCCGCACCACGGUCCACCGUCACCCUGAGCGCUGCGCCGCCUUCGCCUCCCUUGGCGCCACCAUCCUCGCCUCCAACGCCCAGGUUGUCGAGGACAGUGAUGUGAUCGUCAUCUCUAUCAAGCCUCAGAUUGUGAAGAAGGUUCUGGUUGAGCUCAAGCCCUUGCUGUCUGAAGAAAAGCUUCUGGUGUCCAUUACUGCUGCUAUUAAAAAUGAAAGAUUUACAGAUUGGCCAGUGUAUUCAGGGUUUACUGAACUUCUGAAACUUUAA
This 336-nucleotide ribosomal RNA is filed under the name Triticum aestivum (bread wheat). RNAcentral's name for it is "partial small subunit ribosomal RNA". The record is from RNAcentral. Lineage: Eukaryota; Viridiplantae; Streptophyta; Magnoliopsida; Poales; Poaceae.